UGUCCUUCCUGGUUUCAAACAUGUCCAAACCGCUUUGCUUUCCUUUUAUACAGUUCCUUUUCACUGCCGCCACCUUCCCGCCAAUCCAAAUUCCCUCCGUAAAAAGUACAGCAAAAUGGGUGUUGAAAAUCCAGCAGAGGAAGUUCAAGUUCUGCUCAGAACAGGACUUUGCAAUCCAUUUCAUUUUCACCAUUUUUUCUGACUCCCCUCAUAGCAAUUACAGAUUUUAGAGAUGGUUAUCAAGGAUUUACUGCAAGAGUAUCCGGACAUGAUCUGCAAUUAAACUAAAUGGACUCUUGCACAGUGAGGACAAUUGUGCUGUAAAGG
This is a long non-coding RNA of Lycium barbarum (goji berry), 327 nucleotides long. RefSeq lists it as uncharacterized. The transcript has 3 exons. The record is from RefSeq and is a predicted model, not a curated record. Lineage: Eukaryota; Viridiplantae; Streptophyta; Magnoliopsida; Solanales; Solanaceae.